UGCUAGGCUUGACCGGGGGGUUAGGCGUCCCCUUGUACACCAGCAUCGUCUUCAGUGGGGGUGACAGCCAGGGACGGCGUCGGGCGGAUCCGGUCGCUCGUUCAGUUCCGUGGAAGCUCUGUUCCAUCAGGUCGCGGGCACUGCGACGGGCCCUCGGAGGAGGGCCCUAGCGGUUACCCAUCAUGGGUACCGGGUCAGGUCCUGACGGGAGCAGCCCUACCAUGACCCGUCGACGCCGAUGGGGCAACGGGGCGGAGGAACGGUUCGAGGCUCACGGCCGGACCCUCACGGCGUCAACCCUGGUGGCCUAGCA
Molecule: signal recognition particle RNA, 313 nt
Filed under: Thermoplasmata archaeon
Lineage: Archaea; Methanobacteriati; Thermoplasmatota; Thermoplasmata
Also listed under: 1 other name
Description: signal recognition particle sRNA
Rfam family: Archaeal signal recognition particle RNA
Source: RNAcentral